Molecule: ribosomal RNA, 1150 nt
Filed under: uncultured bacterium
Lineage: Bacteria
Description: bacterial SSU rRNA
Rfam family: Bacterial small subunit ribosomal RNA
Source: RNAcentral
GAUGGCCUCGCGUCUGAUUAGCUAGUUGGUGAGGUAACGGCCCACCAAGGCGACGAUCAGUAGCCGGCCUGAGAGGUUGAACGGCCACAUUGGGACUGAGACACGGCCCAGACUCCUACGGGAGGCAGCAGUGGGGAAUAUUGCACAAUGGGGGAAACCCUGAUCCAGCGACGCCGCGUGAAGGAAGAAGUUUUUCGGUUUGUAAACUCCUGUCAUCGAGGAAGAUAAUGACGGUACUCAACGAAGAAGCGCCGGCUAACUACGUGCCAGCAGCCGCGGUAAUACGUAGGUCACAAGCGUUGUCCGGAAUUACUGGGUGUAAAGGGAGCGCAGGCGGGAAGACAAGUUGGAAGUGAAAUCCAUGGGCUCAACCCAUGAACUGCUUUCAAAACUGUUUUUCUUGAGUAGUGCAGAGGUAGGCGGAAUUCCCGGUGUAGCGGUGGAAUGCGUAGAUAUCGGGAGGAACACCAGUGGCGAAGGCGGCCUACUGGGCACCAACUGACGCUGAGGCUCGAAAGUGUGGGUAGCAAACAGGAUUAGAUACCCUGGUAGUCCACACCGUAAACGAUGAUUACUAGGUGUUGGAGGAUUGACCCCUUCAGUGCCGCAGUUAACAUAAUAAGUAAUCCACCUGGGGAGUACGACCGCAAGGUUGAAACUCAAAGGAAUUGACGGGGGCCCGCACAAGCAGUGGAGUAUGUGGUUUAAUUCGACGCAACGCGAAGAACCUUACCAAGUCUUGACAUCCCUUGACGAUGCUGGAAACAGUAUUUCUCUUCGGAGCAAGGAGACAGGUGGUGCAUGGUUGUCGUCAGCUCGUGUCGUGAGAUGUUGGGUUAAGUCCAGCAACGAGCGCAACCCUUAUGGUCAGUUACUACGCAAGAGGACUCUGGCCAGACUGCCGUUGACAAAACGGAGGAAGGUGGGGAUGACGUCAAAUCAUCAUGCCCUUUAUGACUUGGGCUACACACGUACUACAAUGGCGUUAAACAAAGAGAAGCAAGACCGCGAGGUGGAGCAAAACUCAGAAACAACGUCCCAGUUCGGACUGCAGGCUGCAACUCGCCUGCACGAAGUCGGAAUUGCUAGUAAUCGUGGAUCAGCAUGCCACGGUGAAUACGUUCCCGGGCCUUGCACACACCGCCCGUCA